CAAUAGCGUAUAUUUAAGUUGUUGCAGUUAAAAAGCUCGUAGUCGGAUUUUGGCUGAGAACGAACGGUCCGCCGUUAGGUGUGCACUGUUUGGUCUCAGCUUCCUGGUGAGGAGGUGUGCUUCACGGCCACUUAGUCACCGUGGUUACUUUGAAAAAAUUAGAGUGUUCAAAGCGGGCUUACGCUUGAAUAUAUUAGCAUGGAAUAACACCAUAGGACUCCUGUCCUAUUUCGUUGGUCCCGGGACGGGAGUAAUGAUUAAGAGGAACAGUUGGGGGCAUUCGUAUUUCAUUGUCAGAGGUGAAAUUCUUGGAUUUAUGAAAGACGAACUUCUGCGAAAGCAUUUGCCAAGGAUGUUUUCAUUGA
Molecule: ribosomal RNA, 365 nt
Filed under: uncultured eukaryote
Lineage: Eukaryota
Description: partial 18S ribosomal RNA
Rfam family: Eukaryotic small subunit ribosomal RNA
Source: RNAcentral